Non-coding RNA from Triticum aestivum (bread wheat), 126 nucleotides. NCBI's taxonomy places the organism in Eukaryota, Viridiplantae, Streptophyta, Magnoliopsida, Poales, Poaceae. The record is from Rfam.
AAAAUACUCCCUCCGUCUCGAAUUACUUGUCACGUAAAUGAAUGUAUCUAGACAUAUGUUUAGUUAUAGAUACAUCAAUUUCUAUUCAUUUCUGGGACAAGUAAUUCGGAACGGGGGGAGUAGCAC